This 1202-nucleotide unclassified non-coding RNA is filed under the name Hevea brasiliensis (rubber tree). Lineage: Eukaryota; Viridiplantae; Streptophyta; Magnoliopsida; Malpighiales; Euphorbiaceae. The record is from RNAcentral.
UUUGAGGUGGAGUUAGGCAGGUUUAUAUCAACAUGGGCUGGCAUUUUACUCCAAAAAAUUUUGUUGUCUUAAGUUUAUGGAAUUCAUUUCAAAAUUUGAUGAGAAUUGGUUUUAGUUAUAACUAAUUCCACGGAAUUUAAUUCAUGAAAUUUAUUUGUACACUUUUGCAAACCGAACACAUAAUAUAUGGAAUUAAAUUGAAUUUCACCAAAUUUUGUGGAAUUCAUUUGAACCAAAUAAGCCCUUUAGCUUAGUUUCUGUCAUUUCUCAUUUUUUAGCAUCAUUGCCGUCGCUGUGGAAGGACACUAUGUCAUGAACACUCGUCAAAUCAAAUGGUAUGGCCUUUCUGUGUUCUCUCUUCUUUCAUCAAUGAUAUUAUUAUUAUUUGAUGAAAUGAACUUGAAUUAAUCAAUUGCCUGCAUUAUUUUUUAUUUGGUAACUCAGGCUCUGCCUCAAUUUGGAAUCCACUCAAGUGUUAGAGUUUGUGCUGAUUGUUUUAAUGAUUCUACUCGCUCAGGAAAUGUCAAUCAACAGGCUUCCUCAGAUGGAGUGAAUUCUGUAGCAGAUAAAGUUUCUAGAUUAGACAUUGGUUCAGAAACAGAUUCAAACACAGAAACAGCUACCCAGCAUAAUUCUGCUACUGGUGUUAUAGAGUGCAAGUGUGGGAUGCCUUUAUGCAUAUGUGAAACUCCGGCUCCAACCAUAGAUGCACCUGCCCUGCAGAUGAAAACCCCUUCUACCAGUGCUUCUCAGUCAAAUCCAAAACCAAAGAAGACAGAUGCCAUUCCUAAGAACAGAGGUUCCACUUCAAACAACAAACCUAGUUCUGUUUUCAGUUAUGGUCAAAUAACAAAUGGUGGUAUUGAUAAACCUCAGAUGGAUUAUGAAGUAAAUGGGGAGGGUUUGAGGGAAGCCAUAAAGAAUGGUGAUACUGCUGCAGUCAAGAAGAUACUCAGUGAGGGUGUGGAUGCAAAUUAUCGCGACAAGCAAGGCCUGUCUGUACUACAUUUGGCGGCGCUCUUUAACCAAACUGAUAUAGCUUUUACACUCAUGGAAUCUGGAGCAAGCCUGGACUACAAGAAUGCACAAGGGGAAACUGCACUGGACUGUGCUCCUGCAACUUUGCAAUACAAGAUGAGAAAGAAAAUGGAAGAACAUGGACAACAGGGCCCACAUACCACCAUCUGAGAGUAGAUGCGUGC